RNAcentral lists this ribosomal RNA (483 nucleotides) under uncultured bacterium. RNAcentral's name for it is "partial 16S ribosomal RNA". It matches the Rfam family "Bacterial small subunit ribosomal RNA", at positions 28 to 523 of the family's 1533-position model. The record is from RNAcentral.
GACGAACGCUGGCGGCGUGCUUAACACAUGCAAGUCGAACGAUGAAGCUGGAGCUUGCUCCGGUGGAUUAGUGGCGAACGAGUGAGUAACACGUGAGCAAUCUGCCCUUGCCUCUCGGAUAACUUCGGGAGACUGUAGCUAAUACAGGACAUGCGGCUUGGAGACAUCUCCAGGUCUGGAAAGAAUUCCGGUCAAGGAUGAGCUCGCGGCCUAUCAGCUAGUUGGUGAGGUAAUGGCUCAGCAAGGCGACGACGGGUAGGCGGCGGGAGAGGGGGACCGGACACACUGGGACUGAGAUACGGCCCAGACUCCUACGGGAGGCAGGAGUGGGGAAUAUAGCACAAUGGGAGAAAGCCUGAUGCAGCAGAGCCGCGUGAGGGAUGAAGGCAUUCGGGUUGUAAACCUAUUUUAGCAGGGAAGAAGCGAAAGUGACGGUACCUGCAGAAAAAGCACCGGCUAACUACGUGCCAGCCGCCGCAGUAA